Molecule: ribosomal RNA, 429 nt
Filed under: Bacteroidota bacterium
Lineage: Bacteria; Pseudomonadati; Bacteroidota
Description: Bacteroidetes bacterium partial 16S ribosomal RNA
Rfam family: Bacterial small subunit ribosomal RNA
Source: RNAcentral
UAGGGAAUCUUCGGCAAUGGGGGGAACCCUGACCGAGCAACGCCGCGUGAGUGAAGAAGGUUUUCGGAUCGUAAAGCUCUGUUGUUAAGGAAGAACGAGUGUGAGAAUGGAAAGUUCAUGCUGUGACGGUACUUAACCAGAAAGGGACGGCUAACUACGUGCCAGCAGCCGCGGUAAUACGUAGGUCCCGAGCGUUGUCCGGAUUUAUUGGGCGUAAAGCGAGCGCAGGCGGUUAGAAAAGUCUGAAGUGAAAGGCAGUGGCUCAACCAUUGUAGGCUUUGGAAGCUGUUUAACUUGAGUGCAGAAGGGGGGGGUGGAAUUCCAUGUGUAGCGGUGAAAUGCGUAGAUAUAUGGAGGAACACCGGUGGCGAAAGCGGCUCUCUGGUCUGUAACUGACGCUGAGGCUCGAAAGCGUGGGGUGCGAACAGG